GGCGAUGCAUCUCGGUCGGAUGCAGAAUGGCUCAAGCUGGUCUGCCGCUUGACUCGAGGUGCAAACCAGCGCAGGUCGUUGCAUCGGCAUAAGCACGGGUGGAGUAUUUCCUAUUGGUUUGCCAUUUUGGUGGUUGAGGAAUGAAGCGUGCGCCCUUGGAGCAGGCCACUGUGCACCUGCACGCUUGUGGUGUUGGUUGGUGGGCUUUCCAUUCAACCCAUCUUAAAACAUGGACCAAGGAGUCUAACAUGUGUGCGAGUCGGUGGGUUUGUAAACCUGUGAGGCAUAAGGAAGAUGACGGGAGAGAACCCCUCUCCAUGGGGUGUAUUUCCAACCGACCUUGAGCUUGUGCGAAGGGUUCGAGUGUGAGCACACCUGUUGGGACUUGAAAGAUGGUGAACUAUGCCUGAGCAGGUCGAAGCCAGAGGAAACUCUGGUGGAGGCACAUAGAGAUACUCACAUGCAAAUCGUUCAUCUGACUUGGGUAUAGGGGCGAAAGACUAAUCGAACCAUCUAGUAGCUAGUUUCCUCCAAAGUUUCCCUCAGGAUAGUUGGAGCUCAUGUGCGAGUUUUAUCAGGUAAAGAAAAUGAUUAGAGGCAUUAGGGGCGUAACGCCCUCGACCUAUUCUCAAAAUUUAAAUAAGUAAGACGGUGCAGCUACUCCAUUGAUUUGUGUCACGGAAUCGAGAGCUCCAAGGGUUGGGCCUAGGGGUCUUCGUCCUCAAACUGUGGGCUGUCGGCAAUCUGCCCGAGAUGCUAUCAUGGCGAGGGAGGGAAGUCAUGUGCCAAUUGGGAUACGGACGUAGAAUGUCCUCUCGCGGGGGAUUUUCCCUAGGUGACAAAUAGUCGACUCAGAACUGGUACGGACAAGGGGAAUCCGACUAUUUAAUUAAAAAAAAGCAUUGCAAUGGUCCCUGUGGAUGCUGACACAAUGUGAUUUCUGCCUAGUGCUCUGAAUGUCAAAGUGAAGAAACUCAACCAAGCACGGGUAAACGGUGGGAGUAACUAUGACUCUCUUAAGGUAGCCAAAUGCCUCGUCAUAUAAUUAGUGAUGCACAUGAAUGGAUUAACGAGAUUCCCACUAUCCCUAUCUAUUAUCUAGUGAAACCACAACCAAGGGAACGGGCUUGGCGAAAUCAGCAUGGAAAGAAGACCCUGUUGAGCUUGACUCUAGUUCGACUUUGUGAAAUGACUUGAGAGGUGUAGAAUAAGUGGGAUUCCUUUUCGACGCAAGUGAAAUACCACUACUUUUAAGGUUAUUUUACUUAUUUUGUGGGGCGAAGACGGGUCAUUGCCCCUGUUUUUGGCCUUAAGACAUGUUUCGAUGGGUCGAUCUGGGCAGAAGACAUUGUGAGGUGGGGAGUUUGGCUGGGGUGGCACAUCUGUUAAAAGAUAAUGCAGGUGUCCUAAGAUGAGCUCAACGAGAACAAAAUUCUCGUGUGGAACAAAAGGGUAAAAUCUCAUUUGAUUUUGAUUUUCAGUACGAAUACAAACCAUGAAAGCGUGGCCUAUCGAUCCUUUAGAAUUUAAAAAUUUGAAGCUAGAGGUGUCAGAAAAGUUACCAUAGGGAUAACUGGCUUGUGGUAGCCAAGCGUUCAUAGCGAUGUUACUUUUUGAUCCUUUGAUGUCGGCUCUUCCUAUCAUUAUGAAGCAAAAUUCACCAAGUGUUGGAUUGUUCACCCACCAAUAAGGAACAUGAGAUGGGUUUAGAUCGUUGUGAGACAGGUUAUUUUUACCCUAAUGAUGAACCGCGCUGCAAUAGUAAUUCAACUUAGUAUGAGAGCAACCGUUGAUUCACACAAUUGGUCAUAGCGCUUGGUUGAAAAGCCAGUGGUGCAAAGCUACCGUGUGUCGAAUUAUGACUGAAUGCCUUUAAGUCAGAAUCCACGCUAGAAGCAAUGCUUGUCACUCCUCGAAUGUAUCUUGACCCAUAGUAGGGGUGUCACUUCGGCACCCCCAGGGGCCCAUGUCACCUGUGAACCUCGGCCGGGAAGCGUCUCAAUCGGGGCAGAUUUGAAGUUCAAUUUCAAAUGGUUGUUGAGAAGAAUCCUUUGCAGAUGACUUCAAUACGUGAUGGGGUAUUGUAAGUGGCAGAGUGGCCUUGCUGCCAUGAUCCACUAAGAUUCAUCCCUUCCUCGCCUCGGUUCAG
This is a non-coding RNA of Picea glauca (white spruce), 2149 nucleotides long. The record is from Rfam. NCBI's taxonomy places the organism in Eukaryota, Viridiplantae, Streptophyta, Pinopsida, Pinales, Pinaceae.